This 263-nucleotide unclassified non-coding RNA is filed under the name plant metagenome. RNAcentral describes it as "partial contains small subunit ribosomal RNA, internal transcribed spacer 1, and 5.8S ribosomal RNA". The record is from RNAcentral.
UUUCCGUAGGUGAACCUGCGGAAGGAUCAUUAUUGUAUAAUCGAGGUGCGAGGGCUGUCGCUGACCCGAAAGUUCGUGCACGCCCGAGUGCCCUCACACACAUCCAUCUCACCCCUAUGUGCACCACCGCGUGGGUCCCCCUUUGGCUUGUUCGGAGGGGGGCUUACGUUUUCACACAAACUUUGUAUGCAGUGUAGAAUGUAUUUUUUGUUUUUGCGAUCACGCAAUCAAUACAACUUUCAACAACGGAUCUCUUGGCUCUC